This 286-nucleotide long non-coding RNA is filed under the name Gopherus agassizii (Agassiz's desert tortoise). RNAcentral describes it as "lncRNA (ENSGAGG00000015322.1)". The record is from RNAcentral. Lineage: Eukaryota; Metazoa; Chordata; Testudines; Testudinidae.
AGCCACUUGUCUAUUGUUUUUUUCUUUCAGAUCUGAGCUUCCACAACCAAUUUAGAGUCUGAAGUGCCUAGAUCAAAGACAAAGAAUAACUGGCCAUUUCUCUGUGCAGAUACCAGGUUAUGUGGAGAGAGGUGGCGAGUUGCUUAGUCAAGGCUGUCAGCUUGAUGCCAAUACAUUGUUCCUUGCAUUGAAUCGGUGCCUUGAGAUGAACGAUUAAGGAAGCAGGAGGUUGAAGGGGCAGUGGAAGGAUCUAAACAGGUCAGUUAUGGAAGGAUUCAGUAAAAGU